This 253-nucleotide ribosomal RNA is filed under the name uncultured bacterium. RNAcentral describes it as "partial 16S ribosomal RNA". It matches the Rfam family "Bacterial small subunit ribosomal RNA", at positions 524 to 776 of the family's 1533-position model. The record is from RNAcentral.
UACGGGGGGGGCAAGCGUUGUUCGGAAUUACUGGGCGUAAAGGGCUCGUAGGCGGCCAACUAAGUCAGACGUGAAAUCCCUCGGCUUAACCGGGGAACUGCGUCUGAUACUGGAUGGCUUGAAUCCGGGAGAGGGAUGCGGAAUUCCAGGUGUAGCGGUGAAAUGCGUAGAUAUCUGGAGGAACACCGGUGGCGAAGGCGGCGUUCUGGACUGCAACUGACACUGAGAGACGAAAGCCAGGGGAGCAAACGGG